UGACCAUCUAAAAAUAAAACAACGGGCA
Molecule: small RNA, 28 nt
Filed under: Bombyx mori (domestic silkworm)
Lineage: Eukaryota; Metazoa; Arthropoda; Insecta; Lepidoptera; Bombycidae
Description: ovarian small RNA-8083
Source: RNAcentral